GAGCAAUUAUUGCCUAUCAUUAGUUUUUCUUUCUUUCACUCUACCUGAAACCACUAGAGGAAAAUGGCGGCACCGUUAGUAAACAGAGAAAGGGAGAUUCAGAGAUUGAAUUCGAGAAUUUGUGGAUACAGUGAUGGUUUGGGACUGAAUUUGUGGAUUUAAAUCUGAGAUGAAUUUGAGGUUGAGAGAUGGAAGAUCUCGGUAAAUGAAGAUGGGUUCGAUUUCAGUAGAUGAACUCAGAUGAAGAAGCUUCUUCUCUUGAAUCGAAAAUGGGUUUCCGUUGAAUUGAAUAUUAGAUGAGGUUGGGAGUGAAUCUGAGUUGAUCAGUGAAGAACAUCGAUUACAGGUGGUCUUGUAACUGUUACAGGGAAGAUGGAAUCGAAUUAGGGUUUUUGGGUCGAAUUGGAGUAGUUCAGUGAAGGUGGUGGUUGGAAUUGAAGUUGUUACAGCUGAGAAUGGGUUUGCAGAUGUUUAUUGAGCACUAUUGUGAUGGCAGAAGCUUGAAUUCAGAUUAAGGGAGUCUGAUGCUAGUUGAGAUGGUGGUGCAGUCGAUGAUUAUUAAUGAGAUUGCUGGGAUUUUGAAGUUAAGAGGGAAAUGGACAUUGGGCACUAACCAAUUGUGCAGAAUGGAUGACAUAUGAGCUGAAGGCAAUGAAGAAUGAAGACAGAAAUUGAACUCAGAGAAUGAAGCUGAUUUAUGUCAGUCUGUAAAGAAGUGUUGCUGCUGUUGUAAUUGAAGAAUGAAGUUGUUGCUGGUUGUAUGAUGAUGAACGACAAAGAAAGAGGAAAGGGUUUCUGGAUCUGAUGAUGGUAGAACUGAUAUUCGAGCAGAUGAAGGAAGAACUGGAGAUGCAGAAAUUGUUAUUGGAUUUGGUUCUACAGUAGUCUAUUAAUGGAAUUCAAGAUGCUGGUGCUGUAUUAUGGAGCAGAGAAGAACUAGGUUGUUGUUUUUGUCAUCACAAAAUUUAUGGGUUUGUUGUGCUGGUAGUUGAAAAUUGGAUGCUGGUAGUUGAAAAUUGGAUGAAGCUGAGGAAAAAUGGGUUUUGGCUCGGGAUUGAACUGAAAUAAGAGAGAUGCUGCUGUGUUGUGCAGUAAUGGAAAUGAGUUGCAGUGGUGGAUGAAAUGCAGGUACUGGAGACAAUGAAGAUGCAGUUCAGUGGGUUACUCAUUAAUUGGUUGUGUGUGUAUAGGCUGCAAUGUAUGGUUCAGUUCGGCGGUGGAGACAACUGGUGCUGUGGAUGUGUUUACAUGGGUUGGCUCUGUAGAGUUGCAGCUGAGGUUGCGAGUUGUUGUUGAGUGAGAUCAUGUCAGCUGUUACAGGAGCCAAGGAAGGAGUUGAGAACAGCUGCAAAUGGUAACAGUUGCAGGUUGCUGCUAGUGGAAAUGACAGGCUCUGGUGAUGAAGGUGGAGUUUAUGAAUCUCAAGUUGCUGUUAUAAAUUGAGAGGAUAAUUGACAGCAGGUAGUGAAGUGGCUUAUUAAUGAUCAACUAGAUGUAUGUUAGGAGUUGAUAUUGUAGGUACUGGUACAGCUGCAGUUAAGACAGAGGAACAAAUAUCGAAGGAUGAAGUUCAGCUGAGAAUUACAAAGGAGUGCAACUGGUGUUUGGUCACUGUGUCGCAGAAGCUACAACAUUGGAGUAAUGGGUUCAGGCAAGAUAAAUGGGUUGUGCUGCUGAUGAUAUGUUGGUUCAGGUCUGGUGGUAAUGAUUCUGGUGGUGGAUUUGUGCAUUAGAUGGAGGCUUACUUGAGUUGGUGCUGUGUAUGUAAGGUUACAUGGAACUUCCAUCAUGGCUGGAUGCACAAUAAUGGUGCAGCACAAGCUCUGGCCAGUGCAAAUGGCCUAGGCCAAAUCCACCCAGCCCAAUCAGCCUGACAGACCUGACUCUGCUCUGACUCAUCCGCCGUUAGUCUGCCGUUAACCAUAACGGUUGACUGUUAUGUUUGACUACUGAUGGGGCGGACUUUGCCGGUCACCAGAGCUAUGUUCCGACUAGUUUUCCGGCGAAGUUCCGGCCAUUUUACCAGUUUCCCGGCGACCACUUUUGGGGUAUAUUUUCACAUGGGUAUUCCUCACAUAUGGGCUUGGUGGACAUCUUUAUAUUGGACUUUGGGCUUUGAAGACCUAGUUUUGGAAAGAGGAAAGCUAUAAAAAGAAAAAGUUUCUACUUCUUUUGAGGAUGACGUAUUUUCUACUUGGAGUUUUGGUGGAGAGCGGCGAUUCUACUAGGGUUUGCUUUUUGUUUAUUUUUCAUAUCUUUAUUUUAUGAAAAUGAUUAUGAUGAACUCCAUUAUUAUGAGUAACUAAACACAAUUAUUGGUUAUGGGAUAAAAGUUGAUUUCUCAAGCAUGAUAUUUAAAUCAAUGGAUUAGUUUUGUC
Papaver somniferum (opium poppy) is the source of this 2378-nucleotide long non-coding RNA. RefSeq lists it as uncharacterized. The transcript is spliced from 2 exons. Lineage: Eukaryota; Viridiplantae; Streptophyta; Magnoliopsida; Ranunculales; Papaveraceae. The record is from RefSeq and is a predicted model, not a curated record.